Molecule: ribosomal RNA, 207 nt
Filed under: uncultured bacterium
Lineage: Bacteria
Description: partial 16S ribosomal RNA
Rfam family: Bacterial small subunit ribosomal RNA
Source: RNAcentral
CAUGUAGGCGGAUUAAUAAGUUUGAAGUGAAAUCCUAUAGCUUAACUAUAGAACUGCUUUGAAAACUGUUAAUCUAGAAUGUGGGAGAGGUAGAUGGAAUUUCCGGUGUAGGGGUAAAAUCCGUAGAGAUCAGAAGGAAUACCGAUUGCGAAGGCGAUCUACUGGAACAUUAUUGACGCUGAGAUGCGAAAGCGUGGGGAGCAAACA